ACACAUGCAGUCGAGCGGAUGAGAGGAGCUUGCUCCUUGAUUUAGCGGCGGACGGGUGAGUAAUGCCUAGGAAUCUGCCUGGUAGUGGGGGAUAACGUUCCGAAAGGAACGCUAAUACCGCAUACGUCCUACGGGAGAAAGCAGGGGACCUUCGGGCCUUGCGCUAUCAGAUGAGCCUAGGUCGGAUUAGCUAGUUGGUGAGGUAAUGGCUCACCAAGGCGACGAUCCGUAACUGGUCUGAGAGGAUGAUCAGUCACACUGGAACUGAGACACGGUCCAGACUCCUACGGGAGGCAGCAGUGGGGAAUAUUGGACAAUGGGCGAAAGCCUGAUCCAGCCAUGCCGCGUGUGUGAAGAAGGUCUUCGGAUUGUAAAGCACUUUAAGUUGGGAGGAAGGGCAGUAAGCUAAUACCUUGCUGUUUUGACGUUACCGACAGAAUAAGCACCGGCUAACUUCGUGCCAGCAGCCGCGGUAAUACGAAGGGUGCAAGCGUUAAUCGGAAUUACUGGGCGUAAAGCGCGCGUAGGUGGUUCGUUAAGUUGGAUGUGAAAGCCCCGGGCUCAACCUGGGAACUGCAUCCAAAACUGGCGAGCUAGAGUACGGUAGAGGGUGGUGGAAUUUCCUGUGUAGCGGUGAAAUGCGUAGAUAUAGGAAGGAACACCAG
Molecule: ribosomal RNA, 665 nt
Filed under: uncultured bacterium
Lineage: Bacteria
Description: bacterial SSU rRNA
Rfam family: Bacterial small subunit ribosomal RNA
Source: RNAcentral